AGGAAAUGGAUCGUGCAUCCCAAGCCAAGACUCAUAACAUUAGAGGGUGGUGAAAUCACAAUGACCCAUGAGAUGGUUACAACUAUUUUUCAUAGGCUUGGCCAAGUUGAUUUGUUUUUCUCAAAGGACAGUAUUGGACGGAUAUGGAGGAAAUUUGUUGAGCCCGACUUUGCUACAAUUGUUUUGGCGAACACCGACCCAAUGACCGUACAAUCAAUCAGGGCUAGCCUCCAAGAAGGAACAACAUCCUGCAACCCAUCUUCAUGCCGAAUGUGGUACAUCCCGGCGAUACUACCUGAUGGUUGGACAGUUAUGCUUUUGAUAUGUUGCAGAAAAGAAUAAUUGUAUUUGACCCAGCUGUUAGCCCGUUUGGGUAUAGCAACCGCCGAGUCAGCAUGCAUGAAUUUGUUAGCAACAAACUCCACGCCGCGUUGUUCACAUGCCUCCAGAAUUUCUUCAGCUCUUGGCAUUGGGAAUCAAGCCACUAGGGACGCACUUUCCCGAUCAUAAUGAGGGAAAAGAUUGAGAAAGAGCAGACUGGGUUGUGUGCCACCUUCUUUGAAUGGAAUUACAAUGACGACAAGCUACAGACACCACUAAACAAAGAGACGCUUACAUCACACAGCAGCCUGAUGAUAUAUGAACUAAUGAGGAUGCAAGGCAACUAAACUCUAGUGGCAAACGACGCCCUUGAAGCGGUGAAAGUAUCGUUCAUUGCUCUUUAGAAUAGAGGGGGGUGAUUAGACUACUUAA
Long non-coding RNA from Triticum aestivum (bread wheat), 753 nucleotides. RefSeq lists it as uncharacterized. The transcript is spliced from 5 exons. Lineage: Eukaryota; Viridiplantae; Streptophyta; Magnoliopsida; Poales; Poaceae. The record is from RefSeq and is a predicted model, not a curated record.